This 488-nucleotide ribosomal RNA is filed under the name uncultured bacterium. RNAcentral describes it as "partial 16S ribosomal RNA". It matches the Rfam family "Bacterial small subunit ribosomal RNA", at positions 28 to 507 of the family's 1533-position model. The record is from RNAcentral.
GACGAACGCUGGCGGCGUGCUUAACACAUGCAAGUCGAACGCGCCUGUCCUCUGGGUUUCUGGGGGGUGGGUGAGUGGCGAACGGGUGAGUAACACGUGAGUAACCUGCCCCCUUCUUCGGGAUAACGGUCUGAAAGGGCUGCUAAUACCGGGUAUUCACUGGUCUCCGCAUGGGGUCUGGUGGAAAGGUUUUUUUCUGGUGGGGGAUGGGCUCGCGGCCUAUCAGCUUGUUGGUGGGGUGAUGGCCCACCAAGGCUUUGACGGGUAGCCGGCCUGAGAGGGUGACCGGUCACAUUGGGACUGAGAUACGGCCCAGACUCCUACGGGAGGCAGCAGUGGGGAAUAAUGCACAAUGGGCGCAAGCCUGAUGCAGCGACGCCGCGUGAGGGAUGGAGGCCUUCGGGUUGUGAACCUCUUUCGCCCGUGGUCAAGCCGCGACGUGGGUCGUGGUGAGGGUAGUGGGUAAAGAAGCGCCGGCUAACUACGUG